RNAcentral lists this long non-coding RNA (763 nucleotides) under Canis lupus dingo (dingo). RNAcentral describes it as "lncRNA (ENSCAFG00020002198.1)". Lineage: Eukaryota; Metazoa; Chordata; Mammalia; Carnivora; Canidae. The record is from RNAcentral.
CCUCCCGGCCGCCGGGGGCGCCCCUCCUGCGGCCUCAGGGCCGGCGCCGCCUCCCGCUGGGUCUCCGCCCCCGCGCUGUGAUUGGCCGGCGGGGCGGGGCGGGGCGGGGCGGGGGCGGGGCCGAGGAGGCCGGGGCGACCGCGAGCGGCUCGGCGGGGUUGCCCGACCCCAGGGCGGCGGCCGCGGUCACCGCCCUCGCCCCGCGGUUCCCCGCAGCGACUGGUUCCUGCCGCGGCUCCGGGUUUCCUUCCGCGAAAUGAAAGCGGGCGGCGGCGCGUCGGUAGGAGCAGCGGCUCCGGGCUAGAGAGCAGGUGCCAGGAGUGGCCGUGGACCACCAAGGCACCAAGCUGGAACAGGUCAUCCCAGCGACAUGGUGCUGAGCCCCUCCAAGAAGGACAUCAGUGCGCCCGGGGCCCUGGGGGCUUUCAUCGCCGGCCAGCAGCACCGGCGGCGGCCGCUCUGUGCGACAUCUGUGGGGAGCUGGAGCCUGUGCCACCGGCCGGACGCCUCCUGAGGGCAGAGGGGCCUGGUGCCCCAGGAGCUGCUGCGGCUCAGAAAGGGUCACAAACCUGGGACAAUGGAAAAGUAUGGUCACAGAGUACUAGCAGCCCGGACGCCUGGGGACUCAGCGGGUGAGCACCGCCUGCAGACCAGGGCGUGACCCCGGGGUCCCAGGAUCCGGAUCGAGUCCCACGUCAGGCUCCCCACAGGGAGCCUGCUUCCCCCUCUGCCUGUGUCCCUGCCUCUCUCUGUGUCUCUCAGG